Molecule: ribosomal RNA, 301 nt
Filed under: uncultured bacterium
Lineage: Bacteria
Description: partial 16S ribosomal RNA
Rfam family: Bacterial small subunit ribosomal RNA
Source: RNAcentral
CAGUAGCCACGGGAAUACGAAGGGUGCAAGCGUUAAUCGGGAUUACUGGGCGUAAAGCGUGCGUAGGCGGUUUGUUAAGUCUGUUGUGAAAUCCCCGGGCUCAACCUGGGAAUGGCAAUGGAUACUGGCAAGCUAGAGUGUGUCAGAGGAUGGUGGAAUUCCCGGUGUAGCGGUGAAAUGCGUAGAUAUUCGGAAGAACACCAGUGGCGAGGGCGGCUUACUGGCUCAUACUGGACGCUGAGGUGCGAAAGCGUGGUGAGCAAACAGGAUUAGAUACCCCAGUAGUCCCUGUCUCUUAUAC